ACUCUUUCUAGUCAGCCUUUUGGCUAAGAUCAAGUGUAGUAUCUGUUCUUAUCAGUUUCAGAUCAGAUAAUUGCUACUUGUGACGAAGCGGGGAGCUUGAUGAAAGUGGAGAAGCUGUGUUCCCAUUAGGGAAGAGCUGCCAACUUUU
Molecule: small nuclear RNA, 148 nt
Organism: Xenopus tropicalis (tropical clawed frog)
Lineage: Eukaryota; Metazoa; Chordata; Amphibia; Anura; Pipidae
Gene: U2
Rfam family: U2 spliceosomal RNA
About the family: U2 is a small nuclear RNA (snRNA) component of the spliceosome (involved in pre-mRNA splicing). Complementary binding between U2 snRNA (in an area lying towards the 5' end but 3' to hairpin I) and the branchpoint sequence (BPS) of the intron results the bulging out of an unpaired adenosine, on the BPS, which initiates a nucleophilic attack at the intronic 5' splice site, thus starting the first of two transesterification reactions that mediate splicing.
Source: Ensembl